GGGGAAUAUUGGCCAAUGGGCGCAAGCCUGAUCCAGCCAUGCCGCGUGGGUGAAGAAGGCCUUCUGGUUGUAAAGCACUUUAAGUUGGGAGGAAGGGUUUCUGGCUAAUAUACAGGACUUUUGACGUUCCCGCAAGAAUAAGCUACGGCUAACUUCGUGCCAGCAGCCGCGGUAAUACGAAGGGUGCAAGCGUUAAUCGGAAUUACUGGGCGUAAAGCGCGCGUAGGUGGUUCGUUAAGUUGGAUGUGAAAGCCCCGGGCUCAACCUGGGAACUGCAUCCAAAACUGGCGAGCUAGAGUAUGGCAGAGGGUGGUGGAAUUUCCUGUGUAGCGGUGAAAUGCGUAGAUAUAAGAAGGUACACCAGUGGCGGAGGCGAGCACCUGAGCUAAUACUGACACUGAGGUGCGAAAGCGUGGGGAGCAAACA
This 426-nucleotide ribosomal RNA is filed under the name uncultured Pseudomonadaceae bacterium. RNAcentral's name for it is "bacterial SSU rRNA". It matches the Rfam family "Bacterial small subunit ribosomal RNA", at positions 356 to 774 of the family's 1533-position model. The record is from RNAcentral. Lineage: Bacteria; Pseudomonadati; Pseudomonadota; Gammaproteobacteria; Pseudomonadales; Pseudomonadaceae.